RNAcentral lists this ribosomal RNA (427 nucleotides) under Pseudomonas sp. RNAcentral describes it as "bacterial SSU rRNA". It matches the Rfam family "Bacterial small subunit ribosomal RNA", at positions 355 to 776 of the family's 1533-position model. The record is from RNAcentral. Lineage: Bacteria; Pseudomonadati; Pseudomonadota; Gammaproteobacteria; Pseudomonadales; Pseudomonadaceae.
UGGGGAAUAUUGGACAAUGGGCGAAAGCCUGAUCCAGCCAUGCCGCGUGUGAAGAAGGUCUUCGGAUUGUAAAGCACUUUAAGUUGGGAGGAAGGGCAGUAAAUUAAUACUUUGCUGUUUUGACGUUACCGACAGAAUAAGCACCGGCUAACUCUGUGCCAGCAGCCGCGGUAAUACAGAGGGUGCAAGCGUUAAUCGGAAUUACUGGGCGUAAAGCGCGCGUAGGUGGUUAGUUAAGUUGGAUGUGAAAUCCCCGGGCUCAACCUGGGAACUGCAUUCAAAACUGACUGACUAGAGUAUGGUAGAGGGUGGUGGAAUUUCCUGUGUAGCGGUGAAAUGCGUAGAUAUAGGAAGGAACACCAGUGGCGAAGGCGACCACCUGGACUGAUACUGACACUGAGGUGCGAAAGCGUGGGGAGCAAACAGG